Molecule: unclassified non-coding RNA, 19 nt
Filed under: Chlamydomonas reinhardtii
Lineage: Eukaryota; Viridiplantae; Chlorophyta; Chlorophyceae; Chlamydomonadales; Chlamydomonadaceae
Description: small RNA Cre_2547
Source: RNAcentral
UCCAGCGUGUGCAGUGCAC